GGAAUAUUGGACAAUGGGGGAAACCCUGAUCCAGCAAUGCCGCGUGAGUGAUGAAGGCCUUAGGGUUGUAAAGCUCUUUUACCCGGGAUGAUAAUGCCAGUACCGGGAGCAUAAGCCCCGGCUAACUCCGUGCCAGCAGCCGCGGUAAUACGGAGGGGGCUAGCGCUGUUCGUAAUUACUGGGCGUAAAGCGCACGUAGGCGGCUUUGCAAGUCAGAGGUUAAAGCCCAGGGCUCAACCCUGGAAUUGCCUUUGAGACUGCAUCGCUAGAAUUGUGGAGAGGUAAGUGGAAUUCCGAGUGUAGAGGUGAAAUUCGUAGAUAUUCGGAAGAACACCAGUGGCGAAGGCGACUUACUGGACACAUAUUGACGCUGAGGUGCGAAAGCGUGGGGAGCAAAC
Molecule: ribosomal RNA, 398 nt
Filed under: uncultured bacterium
Lineage: Bacteria
Description: bacterial SSU rRNA
Rfam family: Bacterial small subunit ribosomal RNA
Source: RNAcentral